Molecule: unclassified non-coding RNA, 1725 nt
Filed under: Macrobrachium rosenbergii (giant freshwater prawn)
Lineage: Eukaryota; Metazoa; Arthropoda; Malacostraca; Decapoda; Palaemonidae
Description: allatostatin antisense RNA
Source: RNAcentral
CAAAUAUUUUAUUAUACACUAUACACAUCAUCACAUGGCAACAUUUACUCGUUUCACUGAUGGAAUGACCUAGUAAUAACUUUGUGAACUAUGACAUAUCGGCAAUAAAAUAAUACAGGGGGAGUGUUAAUCCAGAACAUGUUACACUGGAAUACAAACCUUCUUAAAAAAAGUAUAUAAAAGGAAUGGGCUCUUUGAAACUGUAAGAGGUAUGCUAAAUUUUUCAACCCAAUAUCUAAUCAAUGUUAAUGUAAACAUUCCAUUCUUAUGACACCAUAAACAGCUACAACCACCUACUAUAACACCAUAAAUAGAGAAACACAUCAAAUGGAAAGUGUAUCUUAUUCCUUCUUGGCAUUAAUGUGCAUUUCUGGCCUGAUGUCAUUCACAAGUUGCAAAAUACGCUCAAUUACCUGGUCCUUAUGAACACCCACUUGCUUGUUCAUUGCAGCAAUUUUCUCAUGGGUCUCAUUCUUGAUCUUCAAUGCAGCAUCAUCUUGUGAACCAAGGUGCUUUGCUUCAUACUCUUUGAACUGUCGCUCUCGUUCUUGUCUAAAUUUUUCAAUUUCUGACUGUGCUUCAUCCUUUGCCUGUUUCAGGCGACGAGCCUUACGCUUCCUUGCUUCAGCAACUCUUUCAGCUGCCUUUUUCUCUGCAGCCAACAACUGCUGAACUCCUUGACUUUGACUUGCCAUGACUCGUCGAUUUUUUGAUUAUAAACCCAUUUAUUUAUUCAUUUAUAUAUAUAGAUAUCUGCGUAUAUACUGAUAAACAAAAAUACAUCCCAGAAGAUUCAGAUAGACUUGAGCACCAUGAUAACUAUUAUCAAUUAAACAAAUAGAAUUAUUUUCAAUUAGCAAUAAAGGUUUUAUUGAAAUAUGUUUAACAUCUCUAUUUUUAAUGACAUAUUGCCAAAGAUCAAUGCAAUGCUUUACACUAUUUUUUGGUUGUUUUAUAAUUUUAGUGAUAUCUCUCAUUGAAAUGAUGCUAAUUGAAUCUAGUUCACUCCUUAGACUUGCUGAAUUACAGGGACACAAUUUCACUAUCCAUCUGAUGUCAUAAGAAAGAAUUGAAAAGGCAUUUCAUGGAAAAAUAUUACGCUAUCUUUAUAUAAAGUAAAUCGACACGUUGCGAGUUUCAGAUCAUCAGUAAAACUAACAUUUGCUGCUAUGCUAUAUAUAUAUAGAUUUAUGUACAUAUAUAGAGCAUUGAACUGGAACAAAGGUCGUCAUAAGGAGUGCACUAAUUAACAUGUCCCAUGGAAACACUAAAAAAUAAACCGGUUUCUUACUGAAAACUAAAAAUAUGUAUAUGGCAGCCCAAGCGUGAGCCACACAUCUAUAGGAUACGCCUAGGAAGAGCCAUUUUGUUCUGGUUCUUGGAGUUCUUGUUUAUCGUCUGUAGCCUCUCGCUUUCCAAGCCCAAAGCCGUAAGAACCAGGAACUCUCUUCCCGAGACCGAAUGAAUAAGACCCCGAGCGUCUACCGAGACCAUUUAGAGAAGAAGAAAAAGAGUCGUCGUCAUGUGCGCCAGCGCCGUCGGUGAAUGACCCUGAUUUUUUUCCAAGACCAAAUGCAUAAGGGCUUGACCUUUUCCCUAAGCCAAAUGCAUACGGGCUUGACCUUUUCCCUAAGCCAAAGGCAUAAGGUCUAGACUUCUUUCCUAGCCCAAAAGCGUACGGACUAGACCUUUUCCCAAGGCCAAAUGAAUAAUGUCCAGCUUUUU